GCAGUGGUAGUUCAGUGGUAGAAUUCUCUCCUUCCAUGCAGGAGUCCUGGGUUCAAUUCCCAGCCAAUGCA
This 71-nucleotide transfer RNA is filed under the name Loxodonta africana (African savanna elephant). It matches the Rfam family "tRNA". From Rfam's summary of the family: Transfer RNA (tRNA) molecules are approximately 80 nucleotides in length. Their secondary structure includes four short double-helical elements and three loops (D, anti-codon, and T loops). Further hydrogen bonds mediate the characteristic L-shaped molecular structure. tRNAs have two regions of fundamental functional importance: the anti-codon, which is responsible for specific mRNA codon recognition, and the 3' end, to which the tRNAs corresponding amino acid is attached (by aminoacyl-tRNA synthetases). tRNAs cope with the degeneracy of the genetic code in two manners: having more than one tRNA (with a specific anti-codon) for a particular amino acid; and 'wobble' base-pairing, i.e. permitting non-standard base-pairing at the 3rd anti-codon position. Lineage: Eukaryota; Metazoa; Chordata; Mammalia; Proboscidea; Elephantidae. The record is from Rfam by way of RNAcentral.